UGCUUUGUGCAGUGGCGGUAUUGUAGCCAAUGAGGUUUAUCCAAGGCAUGAUUAUUGCUAAUUACAAGGUCUCCAGCUGUUAUCUGUAGGGUGUAUCAUAGGGAUGGAGGACCAAAGUGGA
This 121-nucleotide small nuclear RNA is filed under the name Vulpes vulpes (red fox). Its description in RNAcentral is "U4 spliceosomal RNA (ENSVVUG00000018782.1)". The stretch from base 1 to 68 matches the Rfam family "U4 spliceosomal RNA". From Rfam's summary of the family: U4 small nuclear RNA (U4 snRNA) is a component of the major U2-dependent spliceosome. Lineage: Eukaryota; Metazoa; Chordata; Mammalia; Carnivora; Canidae. The record is from RNAcentral.